This 300-nucleotide ribosomal RNA is filed under the name uncultured Actinobacillus sp. Its description in RNAcentral is "bacterial SSU rRNA". It matches the Rfam family "Bacterial small subunit ribosomal RNA", at positions 496 to 795 of the family's 1533-position model. Lineage: Bacteria; Pseudomonadati; Pseudomonadota; Gammaproteobacteria; Pasteurellales; Pasteurellaceae. The record is from RNAcentral.
AUGAGUCCCGGGCUGGCGGCCGUGGUAAGUCUGAGUGUCCACUCGUUUCUCCGGUUUAUUGGGUGUAAAGUGUUCGUAUGCUGAUUUGUAAGUCAGCGGUGAAAGCCGUCCGCUUAACUGUAGAACUGCCGUUGAUACUGCAAGUCUGGAGUACAUUUGAUGUGGGCGGAAUGCGUCAUGUAGCGGUGAAAUGCUUAGAUAUGACACGGAACACCGAUUGCGAAGGCAGCUCACAAAACUGUAACUGACGCUGAGGCACGACAGCGUGGGGAUCAAACAGGAUUAGAUACCCUUGUAGUC